ACUGUGGGUAGCGGAGAAAUUCCAAUCGAACCCGGAGAUAGCUGGUUCUCCCCGAAAUAGUUUUAGGACUAGCCUCAAGUUAGAUACCUGGAGGUAAAGCACUGAAUAGCCUAGCGGCCGAGAGGUUAGCGAAGCUUAUCAAACUCAGAAUGCCAGAGUAUUGAUGCUUGGGAGUCAGACAGUGUCAGAUAAAUGUCAUUGUCAAAAGGGAAACAGCCCAGAUCUACAGCUAAGGUCCCAAAGUCAGGUUAAGUGGAAAACGAUGUGAAGAUACGCAGACAACCAGGAUGUUGGCUCAGAAGCAGCCACUCAUUCAAAGAGUGCGUAAUAGCUCACUGGUCGAGCGUCUUUGCGCGGAGAAUUUAACGGGGCUAAACCUGACACCGAAGCUUAGGCAAUACAGCAAUGUAUUGGGUAGGGGAGCGUUGUAUACGCGGUGAAACAGUAGCGCAAGCGGCUGUGGAGUGUAUAGAAGUGAGAAUGCCGGAAUGAGUAGCGCGAAUGCAGUGAGAAUCUGCAUGGCCGAAAGCCUCAGGUUUUUGGAGGAAGGUUCGUCCGCUCCAAGUUAGUCGGGAGCUAAGGUGAGGCCGAAAGGCGUAGCCGAUGCACAUACGGUAGAAAUUCCGUAACCGUCGAAGUAUUUAAGCAAAGGGACACUUUGGGAAGGUACAAGCCAGGCGUUGGUAGCCCUGGCCGUAAGGGACUGAAAAUUAGUAGGGAAGUGUACUGGAACAGAGGCGAGAAAAGCUUUGUGUAUAUACAAGACGCCCGUACCGCAAACCGACACAGGUAGAUGGGAAGAGAAUUCUAAGGCCAACGGGAGAAGGGUUGUUAAGGAACUCGGCAAGUUGACCCCGUAACUUCGGAAUAAGGGGUGCUCACGAGAGUGAGCCGCAGAGAAUAGGCCCAGGCAACUGUUUACCAAAAACACAGGUUUGUGCUAAAUCGAAAGAUGACGUAUACGAGCUGACGCCUGCCCGGUGCUGGAAGGUUAAGAGGAGAUGUGCAAGCAUUGAAUCGAAGCCCCAGUGAACGGCGGCCGUAACUAUAACGGUCCUAAGGUAGCGAAAUUCCUUGUCAGGUAAGUUCUGACCCGCACGAAUGGUGUAACGAUCUGGACACUGUCUCAACAACCCGCCCGGCGAAAUUGUAGUACCGGUGAAGAUGCCGGUUACCCGCGACUAGACGGAAAGACCCCAUGGAGCUUUACUGUAGCCUGAUAUUGGAUUUCGGCACAUCAUGUACAGGAUAGGUGGGAGACAGGGAAACAGGGGCGUCAGCUUCUGCGGAGUCGCCGUUGGGAUACCACUCUUGAUGUAUCGGGGUUCUAACCUGCACCCGUGAUCCGGGUGGGGGACACUGUCAGGUGGGCAGUUUGACUGGGGCGGUCGCCUCCUAAAGAGUAACGGAGGCGUUCAAAGGUCAGCUCAGCGCGGACGGAAAUCGCGCAAUGAGUAUAAACGCAAAAGCUGGCCUAACUGCGAGACCUACAAGUCGAGCAGUAACGAAAGUUGGAGUUAGUGAUCAGGUGGUAGUGAGUGGAAAUGCCAUCGCUUAACGGAUAAAAGCUACCCUGGGGAUAACAGGCUGAUCUCCCCCAAGAGUUCACAUCGACGGGGAGGUUUGGCACCUCGAUGUCGGCUCAUCGCAUCCUGGGGCUGUAUUCGGUCCCAAGGGUUUGGCUGUUCGCCAAUUAAAGCGGCACGCGAGCUGGGUUCAGAACGUCGUGAGACAGUUCGGUCCCUAUCCAUCGUGGGCGUAGGAGUCAUGAGAGGAGCUGUUCCUAGUACGAGAGGACCGGAAUGGACGCACCACUGGUGCAACUGUUGUCGUGCCAACGGCAUAGCAGGGAAGCGAAGUGCGGAUGGGAUAAACGCUGAAGGCAUCUAAGCGUGAAGCCCACCUCAAGAAUAAGACUCCACAAUAGACCCCUGGAGGACUACCAGGUAGAUAGGUCAUCGGUGGAAGCGCUGUAAGGCGUGU
This 1983-nucleotide ribosomal RNA is filed under the name human gut metagenome. RNAcentral describes it as "bacterial LSU rRNA". It matches the Rfam family "Bacterial large subunit ribosomal RNA", at positions 808 to 2888 of the family's 2925-position model. The record is from RNAcentral.